CGUGGUGUUAAUGACUUAAAGAACAAACAUUUUUAAUAAUUUAAAUAUUAUAAUAUUAAUAUCAAUUUUAUUUUAUACAACACCACACGUUCUUUAUUUCUGUUAAAAAAAAAAUGUUAUAUAUAUACGUCUGUUCUAUUCACGAGUAAAUGAAUUCGUGGUAUAACCCAGGGCAUAUACCUAGACAUUCUUAACAUUUGUUUUUUUUAUAUAUAUAUACAUAUAAAAUUGUGGAUGUAAGCAUUAUAACCAGUGUCGUGAUAUAAGUGUAAAAAAAAUAGUAAAUAUACAUGUAUGUUCAUACGUGGAAGCGUGUGAAUUUAGACGUAUACAUUAUAAAAUAUAUAUGCACGCCGUGUAGAGAAUAGUGGGCUGAUCGUUCUUACGGCAAUAAUACCUAACGGCUUAAAUAAUAAGGAGGGGUGAAUGUCGACGGAGGACUCCAACGACGAAUACCUCCCGGGCGCUGCUUAUGAUAGUGACGACAGUAGAGUAGGGGCAGAUUCUAGACCGAGGCCUUUCGUUACGAACCGUCCUCGCACUAGAGCAUUCGUCAGCAAUAAUCCCGAAAUACCAUCAGCGGUGCAAAGCGUAGGAACCAACACCACGCGCCCCCCAGCAGCUGCCACUAAACUUUUUUACUCAACAGAUAAAAUUGUAUUGAUAUUUAUAGAAAAAAAAACUAAAAAAUUGAAAACUGACAAUGUCCGUAAGCAGCUCAAAAACAGUCAAAAUAUUUUCAAAAUGUUAUGGUGUAUAGAAAAUGCUAAUAUAAACAUUCAGUCAAAAUUUCAUGUCUCUACCGUCAUUUGUUUUAGAGUUACACCAAAAAGAUUUUGCGUAAAAAUUCCCGUUUUCCCUUAAUUUUUCUUUUAUUUUUCACGUCGCUUCUGAAAACUACUGGGAAAUUUUUACUUUCGACCCCCCAAAGUACGAACUAGAUUCACUUUCCUCUCAGAAAAGUUACUGUUGAAGAAAAUCCAAGCAUUUUUACUGUCCUAAAAGGUGAUGACAGACACAAAAAUAAAAAAUAAAAUAAAUAAAAACAACACACAUCAUUGUAAAAUCAAUACAUUCAUCGCUUCGCUCAGAAUCUAAAAUGAAACGAUACAUUUGUUUAUUUAUUUAUUUUGCAAGUCAUGCACAGCGGCGGCGGCGUGCAUGUUUAUUAUUAUUGUAUUGAUUUUUCCCUUCUCUCCCUAAUUCACUUAUAAUUUCACGAACUCCAAUACUUAUGAAAGAAGUUUUACUUCCCCAGAGUGUAAUGGUGAACUCACACGCUCUCGUUUUUUUUCUCGUUACGAAAUAUAUUUUUAGUUUUAUUCAUUUUAACAGAAUCAUGUUCCUCACUGAACAUGCUCGUGUGACUUAAGUGUUAACCAACAGUGUUUUUGGUCAAUUACAAAUCUCAAUAAAAUAUAUAGAGGUUUUGGUCAUGUGAUCGUGUAGUAAUUUACCAGUGUAUGAUGUGACUCUUAUAAAAAUUAACUGAGUUUUGAACUGGAGCGUCAAGAUGUGCUGCCGGCUUCCCAAAGAAGAUGUCUAAGGUUUUAGCUGGACAUUUUUUUGGGAUUCACGCCUUUUUUGAACUUAUAGGAACGCUAUCAUCUGUGAGUCAAAAUAUACAAACGAAAAGCCCGACUUAAAACUGUAACAUGUGCAUCAGCAUGGGUAUGUCCGUCACGUUGAUACAACUAAUAAUAUUGAAGUCACCGCCAAAUAAUAUCUGAUAGAACGUCAUCACUUCUCUUACUACGGAAUGGUUAGUCACUUGUUGUCUGAAGUCC
Long non-coding RNA from Metopolophium dirhodum (rose-grain aphid), 1787 nucleotides. RefSeq lists it as uncharacterized. The transcript is spliced from 3 exons. The record is from RefSeq and is a predicted model, not a curated record. NCBI's taxonomy places the organism in Eukaryota, Metazoa, Arthropoda, Insecta, Hemiptera, Aphididae.